This 484-nucleotide ribosomal RNA is filed under the name uncultured bacterium. Its description in RNAcentral is "partial 16S ribosomal RNA". It matches the Rfam family "Bacterial small subunit ribosomal RNA", at positions 29 to 507 of the family's 1533-position model. The record is from RNAcentral.
AUUGAACGCUGGCGGCAUGCCUUACACAUGCAAGUCGAACGGCAGCGCGGACUUCGGUCUGGCGGCGAGUGGCGAACGGGUGAGUAAUACAUCGGAACGUACCCUGUUGUGGGGGAUAACUAGUCGAAAGAUUAGCUAAUACCGCAUACGACCUGAGGGUGAAAGUGGGGGACCGCAAGGCCUCACGCAGCAGGAGCGGCCGAUGUCUGAUUAGCUAGUUGGUGGGGUAAAGGCCCACCAAGGCGACGAUCAGUAGCUGGUCUGAGAGGACGAUCAGCCACACUGGGACUGAGACACGGCCCAGACUCCUACGGGAGGCAGCAGUGGGGAAUUUUGGACAAAGGGGGCAACCCUGAUCCAGCAAUGCCGCGUGUGUGAAGAAGGCCUUCGGGUUGUAAAGCACUUUUGUCCGGAAAGAAAGCGCGCUGGUUAAUACCUGGCGUGGAUGACGGUACCGGAAGAAUAAGCACCGGCUAACUACGUG